GCACAAAAUGAACUCAACUUUUAUUUCUCGUUUUUUCUGCUUUUGCUUUUAUUUGCAUUUAUUUUAUGCUGAAUAUAUUCCCAGGCCACUUUUUUGUUUGUUUUUUCAGUUUCUUCCAGGAUAUCUUUUUCUUCUGUGCCACCUCCUCUUCUGUUUUAGGAGCAAUCUGCUCAUUUUCAAGAAUGAUCAUCUCAGGAGUUCCUGUCGCGGCGCAGAAGAAACAAAUCCAGCUAGGAACCAUGAGGUUGCAGGUUCGAUCCAUGAGGUUGCAGGUUCGAUCCCUGGCCUUCUUCAGGGGGUUAAGGAUCUGGUGUUGCCAUGAGCUGUGGUGUAGGUCACUGCUGAGGGGCAGAUUCAAUCCCUGGCCUGCCCUGGAACUUCCGCAUGCCGCAGGUGCAGCCAAAAAAAAUAAAGAAUCAUAAAAUGACAUUCAAUGUGGAAUUAGAGUGCAUUUUAAUAUGUUUCAUGUGAUUUGGACGGGGCCUCCCAAAUUAAGUGCAUCAAGGGCCAAAAGUGGUUUUAUUUAAAAGGCCUGUAAACCUCCGAACCAGACAGACAAGGUCUCAGUCUCAGGAAAUUUCUAAUCAAAGAACACGCUGACCUUCUCAGCAAAAGUAGGAACGAGUAAAGUGGAUCAGAUCUGAGUCUGGAGCUCGCUGAGGACCCCUGGCUUCUCUCCCAACCCCCUGACUGUUACAGAGAAAAAACUCUCUCCUGUGUCACACCCAUCCCCAGCCUGGUGACUCAGCGCUGGACAUGGGGAUUUUGGAAAGCUCAGUGGGGUGAUGGAGCGGGGAAAGACGGGGUAGAGGUGAUGCUCUCUCUGCUCUCAGGACCAGCCUGGGGUGGGGGUAGGGAGCAGCAGGACAGACAUAGGGAGGGAAAGAGACAAAUUGUCCCCAGAUGACAUUUUGAGACAGCAGAACAAAAUGUGUUUGGCUCUUCCCUACCCUCUCCCUCUUUUAAAGAGAAAUAGGACUCAGCCCUUGAAAGGGACCAUCUGGGCGUCUAAGUCACAGGUGCGAAGGUUUUAGGACUGGGAGGUGAGCAAUUCAGCACCUCCCCCCUCCUCCCCGUCUGCCUCCCCUCCCCAUCCAGCGGAGGAAAGGCAGGGAGGACCUGGGGGAAGCAGCGCUGGAAUCUCCUGCGUGCCCGCGCGUGCCCGUUCCCCUAGUACUGUCUCUAUUCCCAGCCACUGGGGUGGGAUUUGGCACAAUGACACGCCAUAAAGUCCAAUCUAUCGAACCCAAUUGAAUUGAAAGGCACGGUGGAGUCAGAUGAGGGGUCUGAUUUCCUCCCCCUCAUGUUUGUUCUCAGCCCGCUGUGUGGCCUUGAGCAACGGCUGCCGCCUCUGAGCUGUUUCCGCAUUUGUACAGAGAGCACCAGAAAACUUGGUCUGCGGGGACAUUAUGCAGACCCAGUGAACUGAAAUCGGCAAGGCAUUUAGCUCUGGGCCGGGCCUUUUUAAUUCUUACCCUUUGGCUGCAGUGGUGGGAAAGCAAAUGUUUGCCAGGUAGGGGGAGGUGGGUGGAGCUGAUGGUGGCCCCUCGCCAGCCAGAGAGGACUUUGAGCUUGCCCCGGAGUGCCAGGAGGGAGCCACUGAAGGUUCUGCAGCGAGGGAGGGGGCCAGAUCCUGGGAGGGGCCGGGAUCCUCGGCCCUCACCCAGAUCCAAAACCCCGCCUCUGGUGUUCUCUCUUCCUCCAAUGCACCCCCUCCCACAGCCCAGGGCCACAGCUCUGCUCCCACCAAGACCGAGUCUGGGAGAACAGCAGAGUGAGCCCCAGGACAAAGCCUAACUAAGGCUAUGCCUGAGCCCAGGCUUGAACCCCUACUCUGAGCCCCCCUCACUGGGUGUUUUGGAUUCCUCUGGGCCUCAGCCUUCUCCCUGCAAAGUGGGGCGACAACAGCGACCUCACGGGGUGGUGGGGAUGGUUAGUUGAGAUAAUAUGUAAAAGCACCUGGCGGCAUGCCUGCUGUACAGGUGGAGUUCAGUGUACGGUGCCAUUAACUGAGAAAGCGGACAGGGGAUCCAAAGGGAGAGAAUGAGGAUCAGAGACGGGGAAGAAUGACACACGGGCCCUUUGCCUCUCUGGAUGGUCCACCUGCAGCCAAGGAAAAAGCCCUUUGGGAGGAGGGGGUGAUUGGGGGGGCAGCUAUUGGGUAAGAGAGGAGGUCAUCCCUGGCCCGCUUCCCUCCUCUACUUCUACCUCCCGCCCAGCUUGGUCACCCAGUUUAGGGUGACAGGGCUGGGCAUGGUGGACCAGCAGCAAUCCUCCAGAUUCCAGAACUGGGCCUCCUGCAAAAGGUGGGUGAGGGUGUAAGGUGCUUCCAGGUGAUAAGAGAGCUGCAGGUGUCGGGCCAUGGGAGCUGGGAUUCCCCAUCCAUCACCCAUCAGGGCCCCAAGCCCAGCCCACCAGGCUUAACUGGAAACCCGAGGCUGCUCCAUUUGCAGUGUGGGUCUGCGUGCGAGAAAGCUGGUAACACUGGCUGAGACCGGUUCACUCUCACCCACAGGCCAGCUGGGCCCUCCCCAGUGGCUGGGCACCUGAGCAGGUGUGUGUGUGUGGAGGGGGGGGGGCUACAAGCUGUCACUUCUAAAUAUAGAGCCUGGCAGCCUGGGAGUCAGCCAGGUGCGGCUGCCACAUGGCCCCCCAAACUGGCUGAUACGCAUGUGCCCGCCAGUUCUGGGCCUGCACAGACACACAUCAAAACUGCCUCACACAGACCCCCAGGGACCCACGAAUACCCCCAAAGACACACACUCAGCUUGGCAUGUACACGUCCCCCCAAAGACACACACUCAGCUUGGCAUGUACACGUCCCUGUCCUUGUUGAGGCCCCUUAUUCACACACACCCUCUCCCCACACUCAUACUCUGCAACGCACACUGACACCAACCGGGCAGCCCCUGCUUGAACAACAGCCUCCCGAGGGCGGCAUCCCCCGUUCUUGUCCACUGCUGUCUCCUCUGCCUGUAACCGUGUCCAGCACACACCAGGUGCCCAGAAACGUUUGCUCUCUGAAUGAAUGCACACACACACUCACACACACACACACACAUUCUGUAAUAAUUACCCCCACUCUCACCCGAUCCCUGCCCCCCUGUGCUGGGUCUACUAGGCCCUACCGAGGACAAGACCAGAAGGCCUGUCCUCCUCUGGCCUGGCCAAUCCCCCAUAGCCAGAGUCCAAGCCAGGCUGAGGACCUGAGCAGGAGGGUGGAGAGGGCAGCCCAGGGAAAGAAGUAGCUUCGAACCCCUGUUUAGGAGGAUGUGGGAAUCAUUGUUUGCUACAGGACAAACCUCCCUGGAGGAGCCACCGCACCACGCUGGAGUUCUGGGUUGGGCCACAUCCCCAGAAAGCCACCAGGGGAGGGGAACACGUGACCCCUAUAAGGCCCUCCCCAGCCCCCUCCUCUGAAGGAGUGCCCCAUUUUAGGUGAUUCCACCCCAUCUAGGAGCCCUCAGCUCUGCCCCCAUAGUGCUUGGGCUGGGCUUCCCACAGCCUGCACAUGGCUGUAACAGAGUGACACUUCAGGGGGAGUUCCCGUUGUAGCUCCGUAGGUUAAGAACCUGAUUAGUAUCCAUGAGGGUACAGGUUCAAUCCCCAGCCUCGCUCAGUUCACAGAUGUGGCUUGGAUCCGGUGUUACUCUGGCUGUGGCUGGCAGGUGCAGCUCCAAUUCAACCCCUAGGCUGGAAACUUCCAUAUGCUAAGGUUUGCCCUAAAAAAAAAAAAAAAAAAAAAAAGGAAAAAAAUAAAAAAGAGUGAUGCCUGGGGACACAGGAGCAGAGGGGGGUGGUGGUCAGGGAGGACUCCCUGGAGGAGAGGAGCCUUGUACAGUGAGAGACAGGAGGGCCUUCUGGGAAGAUGGCUGGAAGAGGCAUCUGAGCAUCUCUGACUCCAGGACUGCUGAGGGAGCAUCGUGACUGUGCUGGGACCUCACAAUUCCCAUGAGAUGAAGCGGAGGCUGAUUGGGCAGGCUGAGCACCAGGGAUGAGGAGGGGAUGCUGUGAUCCCAGAGCGACUGAAGGUCGGGUGAGAUUUAUAGUCAGAGCCUGCAUCAGUAGACUAGAGAAAAAGGUGACUGAGGGGGGCAAGCUGAUAAAGGGGAGGACUAGGGACAGGACUAAGGACAGAUGAGUGGCCAAUGGAUGGACAUAUGCAUAGGCUAGCAGAUGGACUGAAAGACACAGGAGCAUGAAUAGACAAAUGGAAAGACAGAAGUGGGUGGCUGGCCACUGGGGUCACUCUCUGAAGCCCCACAAGGGCCUGAAGACCCAGCUACUUCCCCUGCAGACCACUCCCACCCCAGCUCCAUUCCCUGUCUCCUUUCCCAGACCAGGUUCCCAGGGAGGCAGACACCUGCUUGGCCUGAUGCCCAGAGAUGCACUUUCCAGCCAACUACAAGCCCAGAAAUGGAAUCACCUCCUGGUGUUCUUACCUGUUGCAGGUGUGCAUAGGAUGGGGUGGGGUCAGCGCCAUAUCUAUGGGCUAAUACCUCCAAAAAUAGCCUCCCAGCGACUGGGGAGUACCCCAAUCAUGGCUCACGUGCGCGCGCGCGCGCACACACACACACACACACACACACACACACACAGCCGCUGGCAGAAUCAACUCCAUAGACACUUGAUGCACACACAGGUGCAUUCACUGACACACUGGCACCCAAACACCAGUCCCCCAAACACCACAACUACCAAACUGCAUAGCAACAGAAUGAGCCAACCACAUGGUCUACAAUGUAUGGGGCCACCUGGCCCCUCAGAUACACCCCAACACCAUGCUGUCAUUAAUCUACAAAUGUGCAUUGAACAGCUUCUGGACCCAACCCUAUGGGAUUUCGGAGCACCUUCAACAGCUCUUCCCAGAGAAAGCUGGACCCACAGGGUCCUUCAUGCUUCACCCUCCAACCCUGCCUCCUACCCCAGCACCUCACAUUUGCCCUCCGUCCAGCAACAUCUGACACCUUAGGGGGGUUCUCUCCUUCUCAUAUGCUUGGAUCCACAUUAUUCCUGCAACUGGGAACCCUUUCCCCAUUUCACUCCUGAACCCCACAUACCAGACCUUUCAUUCAAGACAGAUCUCUGCAUACCUAAAGUUUAACAGUGGGACACACAACAGGGCCUAAAUGUUUGUUGACUGACUGACCAACUUACCAGCUGGGUGAAAUCAUUAGGAAUAUAAAUCAGCUAAGAAUAGUGCAUAAUUAAAGUUCCCAUCAUGGCUCGGUGGUUAACAAACCCGACUAGUAGCCAUGAAGACGCGGGUUCAAUCCCUGGCCUUGCUCAGUGGGUUAAGGAUCCUACGUUGCUGUGAGCUGUGGUGUAGCUCACAGACAUGGCUCGGAUCCCUAGUAGUUGUGGCUGUGGUGCAGGCUGGCAGCUGUAGCUCCAAUUCGACCCCUUAGCCUGGGAACUUCCAUAUGCUGCAGGUAUGGUGCUAAAAAGACAAAAAAAAAANAAAAAAAAAAAAAAAA
RNAcentral lists this long non-coding RNA (5477 nucleotides) under Sus scrofa (pig). RNAcentral describes it as "lncRNA (ENSSSCG00025026044.1)". Lineage: Eukaryota; Metazoa; Chordata; Mammalia; Artiodactyla; Suidae. The record is from RNAcentral.